RNAcentral lists this unclassified non-coding RNA (330 nucleotides) under Hevea brasiliensis (rubber tree). The record is from RNAcentral. Lineage: Eukaryota; Viridiplantae; Streptophyta; Magnoliopsida; Malpighiales; Euphorbiaceae.
AUUUAGGCAGUGUGAAUAUUGCCAUUUUUGCUUGUUGAUAAGUGUUUCUUCUUCUCUCUUUCUUGUAUAUAAGAAUGAAGUCAGUGCUGCAUUAAAAAAAAAAAUGGCAAUAUUCACACUUCACACUGCCUAAAUACAACUGAUACAAGGCCUAUAAAUGAAACUACUCCUCAGACUCUGCUCUCUCCUGGAGAUCCCCUAAUGUAGAAUAUCCUGUAUACAAGGUUACAUGCAGAUCAAAAAUGCUUUAACCCUUCUAUAAGUUUACAUGGGUAUACUACUACAGAGUCCAAACAAAGACCACCUUUGGUGUGUGUGCAAUCGAUCUGG